Molecule: unclassified non-coding RNA, 145 nt
Filed under: uncultured Ascomycota
Lineage: Eukaryota; Fungi; Ascomycota
Description: sequence contains ITS2
Source: RNAcentral
UCACCCAUCAAGCCCGGCUUGGUAUUAGGGCGCGCAGCACAGCGGCUCUUAAACAUAUAAGCGGCGCCGGUGGGCUCCAAGCGUAGUAGAAUUUCUCGCUAUGGGGUUCCCUCCCGGAGGCUUGCUGAAACCCCCAACCUCCUAU